Molecule: unclassified non-coding RNA, 304 nt
Organism: Callithrix jacchus (white-tufted-ear marmoset)
Lineage: Eukaryota; Metazoa; Chordata; Mammalia; Primates; Cebidae
Rfam family: Metazoan signal recognition particle RNA
About the family: The signal recognition particle (SRP) is a universally conserved ribonucleoprotein. It is involved in the co-translational targeting of proteins to membranes.
Source: Ensembl
GGCGGGCAUGGUGGCGCAUGCCUGUAGUCCCAGCUACUCAGGAGGCUGAGGUGGGCAGAUUGAUUGAGCCCAGGAGUUCUGGGCUGUAGUGCACUAUGCCAAUCGGGUGGGUGUCUGCACUAAGUUCUGCAUCAAUAUGGUGACCUCCUGAAAGCAGGGGACCACCAGGUUGCCUAAGGAGGUGUGAAGUGGCCCAGGACAGAAACUGAGCAGGUCAAAAUUCCCAAGCUGAUCAGUAAUGGGAUCACACUUGUGAAUAGCCACUGCACUCCAGCCUGGGCAACAUAGCAAGACCCUGUCUCAA